This 217-nucleotide long non-coding RNA is filed under the name Glycine max (soybean). Its description in RNAcentral is "long non-coding RNA (GMAX_LNC003556)". Lineage: Eukaryota; Viridiplantae; Streptophyta; Magnoliopsida; Fabales; Fabaceae. The record is from RNAcentral.
UCACCUAGUUUUCAAAUAUGGUGCUUUCAGAAGCUAAAACAGUCUUGCAAGUCGAAGCUGUAGCAGCCAGUAUAUUUACAACAUUCAAACUAAAUCAUUGUAUUGUAUGAGUUUGAAAAUUUUCAUUUGGAUGUUUAGUAAUUAUUGGUGUGAAAUUUCUUUAAUUCGUGAUGGUGUUUAAGAACUAAGCAUUGAUUUCCUUUAGGUGAUCGAUUAA